Molecule: long non-coding RNA, 1725 nt
Filed under: Calidris pygmaea (Spoon-billed sandpiper)
Lineage: Eukaryota; Metazoa; Chordata; Aves; Charadriiformes; Scolopacidae
Description: lncRNA (ENSCPGG00000015983.1)
Source: RNAcentral
AUUUGUGGGGUGAGGGGACGUAUUUGUGGGGUGGGGGAAUGUAUUUGUGGGGUGAGGGGUUAUAUUUGUGGGGUGAGAGGAUGUAUUUGUGGGGUGGGGGAGUCCCUAACGGCGUCCCCCGGCAGGUGCAACACGCAGGACUACACGUGGCACAAGGGCACGCGCUGCGAGGCCAUCGUCACCGACUUCCAGGUGAUGUGCGUGGCCGUGGGCUCGGCCGCCCUGGUGGUGCUGCUGCUCUUCAUGCUCACCGUCUUCUUCGCCAAGAAGCUCUACCUGCUCAAGACGGAGAACAGCAAACUGCGCAAGACCAAAUACCGCACCCCGUCCGAGCUGCACAACGACAACUUCUCCCUCUCCACCAUCGCCGAGGGCUCCCACCCAAACGUAAGGAAACUUCGUGGCACUGUCCCCCCCCUCUCCCCGUCCCCCGUCCCCUCCCUGCUUGCCAUCCUACCCUUGUCCCUCUGUCUGUCCACCCCCGCCUCCAUCCCAUCCCUGUCUGGGUGACGGUGUCACCACCAAGCCCCUCCGCACCCUCCUGUCCCCAUCCCACCGUGGCCACCAUCCCAUUGCUAUCCGGACCUUCCCUGGUGACCCAAACCAGGCCAGGCGGGGGUGGGGGGGGUUGGUGUCACCCCGCUGUCCCCCUGCCCCGUCCCCUCCUUGCCCACGUGGCACCCCGGGGAGCCACCCUCCGGAGUUGCCCGGUGGCUUUGUCUCCACGCACGGGUGGCAGGGAGGCGUUGGGGGACACCCGGCGCCGCGUGGCUCCGGCAGACGAUGCUGGAGGGUGAAACACCCCGAGAUGCUCCUGGUGUGGUCAAGUUGUGUGUGUGUGUGUGUGUGUGUGUGUGUGUGUCCCAAAAAAAACCACAAAAGGGCUGCCCCACCAACCUCCUCUCUUUCGAAUCGGCACAGAGAGAAGCGAAGGGCUUUGCCGAGCGCGAGCCGCAGGAGGAGCGUAGGUCCCUCUAAGCCUUUGCCGUACCCCCACCGCCGGGUUUUCGCCCCCCCCAAACCCCGUCUUUCGACCGCCUGUAGCAGCCGUAGCCUCCGGAGCCGUCUCGCUCCCCGCUGCCGAGAGGAUGAACCUCGGGAUGAAUCCGGGUGCCGUUCCCCGGCGUCCCCUUCGGGAUGCCACGGGCUCGGUCCCGGGAUGGGACCUGGGUGCUCGGAGACGCAGCCGAAACGAUGGAUGUGAAACCCCUGGGGGAAAAAGGGGUUUGUUUGGUUUUUUUUUUGGGGGGUGGGGGGACGACGCGUGGAGCAGCCCCUGCGCCGGGCGAGGAGCUCAGUGCUCAUCCCGUGGGGUUUCCCGUUGUUGGAGCGUCACCCCGGAGCAGCUGGGGGUCACCCGUGGGACCAUUGUCCAGAAGAUGGAGGUUUCCCAUCCCCGUAAGAGCUGCUCCUUGGGGGUGUGUCCCCCCCCCCCUUUCCCCCCCGCCGCUACGAUGCCACGGCUCAUCCUGCCCCAACGGCGACACCGGGACCGUCCGUUUCCCAACGCAGCCGGAGCUCGGCCCCGGUGCCGGCGGAGCCGCUCUCCCCACGGAUGCGGGACAAACUCGGGGUGCAGCCCAGCCCCCGGGGAGGUGGGGGGGGGAGAGAAGAAGAUGCUCCGGGGGGACACGGGGAAGAGGCAUCCCCGGCUCUGACGCGGGCGGCGGGGCCGGCUGUACGCUAACGAACCGCAAUAAAUCCAACCCCACGGGCCUCCUGCCA